Long non-coding RNA from Humulus lupulus (European hop), 333 nucleotides. RefSeq lists it as uncharacterized. The record is from RefSeq and is a predicted model, not a curated record. The transcript is spliced from 3 exons. Lineage: Eukaryota; Viridiplantae; Streptophyta; Magnoliopsida; Rosales; Cannabaceae.
UACCUUGUGAUAUUUUGAAGAGUAUUGUGAGCAAUUCCCACACUAAGAACCGAUCACUCUCCAUCUCUCAUUCACUAUCAUCUUUUUUGAAGACCUCUCAAAGUGUUCUCUCCAUUUUUCAAGCCCAAGAACACCAAGGAAACUUUGAGGCUAAGUCUUGGUCUAGGAAGUAUUUUCCCUAAGUUUGUUAGGGUUUUUGAAAGGUUUUGGAGGAGCCAAAGCUAAUAGGAAGGUCCAAACCUUAAGCAAGAACACCAAAGAGUAUUGGCUAAGCGUAACUGGACUGAACGUUGGAGGGUGAAAACCUGCUGAGCGCUAAGGACUCCAAGUAAG